This 455-nucleotide long non-coding RNA is filed under the name Androctonus crassicauda. Lineage: Eukaryota; Metazoa; Arthropoda; Arachnida; Scorpiones; Buthidae. The record is from RNAcentral.
GGAUAUGAUUCAAUUAUUAAAAUAUAUGAAUUUUGAAUAGUUUUGUGCCAAAUGUUGAUGCCUUUUUACUCUGGUAAUCUUCCAGAUAUGUUCACUUUUGAACAAUGUUGAGAGGGUAUACUGCAAGUAAUACUUGCUGUGAUGAAUGAAACUGCUGUAGUGUUUGGGCAAGGUAAGAAAACUAUUUUUCAGCUUCUUAAAUCUGUUCUAAUUAAUGAUGAUCCUAGCACAUGUCUUAUAUUAAUAUAUGUGACAAAUAGAAAACUAAAUGCAUUUCAAAAUUAUAUGCAAUAUUUGCAAAUUAGCAUAUUAAAUUUUCUUUAUUUUGAAUGUUGCUGUGAUGAAUGAAACUGCUGUAGUGUUUGGGCAAGAAUCUUAAAGAUCAACAAAUGAAAUACGUUAAAUGCAGUGAUGGCUGACUUGUCUUGCAUACAUAAUUUUCAUCAAAAACCAAU